Molecule: long non-coding RNA, 888 nt
Filed under: Panax ginseng (ginseng)
Lineage: Eukaryota; Viridiplantae; Streptophyta; Magnoliopsida; Apiales; Araliaceae
Description: long non-coding RNA (PGIN_LNC015246)
Source: RNAcentral
AAUAAUAAAAUUAAAAUAAAUAUUUUAAUUUAUUUUUUAUAUAAUUUUUUCUUUUUCUUUCUUUUAAUAAUUAUUUUUAUUUUUAAAAUUAAUUCCAAAUAAUAAAAUAAUAUUAAAACUUUUUAAUAACUAAACAUUAAAAAAAACAAUCUCUUUUCCUUUAUUAAUGGAAAUAUUAAAUAUUAUACUCUGAGUCACCGAGAAAUGAAUAAGAAACCGAGAAGCGGGAACGAAAAAGUAGAAGAAGAAAAAACCCUAGAAAGCCCAGCUUUAAUGGAAACAAUGAUAGGGAAAUCUGUUUCGUUGCCCGACUUGGAAGUUUCUGGCGGUGGCUGUUGUUUAGAAAUAACUAUUCUGGCUAUAAAUUUUCCUUCCGAGUAAUCCUUCCCCUUCUUCAGAGAAUUACUCUGCCCAUUCGUGUAAUCGUCGCGGGGAGGAAGUCUCAUGGAAUCCGGAGCAUCUUACGGCGGCGUAGGUGAAUGACAGGGACUACAGUUUGGAUCCGUGUUCUUCUUUCUCUGUUUCUGUUUCUUCUUUUUCUUUUUCUUUAUCUUGAGCUUCUUGACAGAGAAGGCUAGAAGAGGGAGAAAAUGUAGGGGGAGAAUCAGAAUCCACCAUUGCUUGACUUGGCUUGUGUUAUUUCUUUUCUCUCUCUACAUCUAAACAAGAAAAUCUAGGAUAUGUAUUGGUGGGUUAGAUCCAGUAACGAUUUUGGUGGCGCCAAAUUUAGUGGGGAUGUGAUAUGGUCUGUUUUUCUACAAACUUACCUCUCUCUUUUUUUUCUUUCUUUUUUUUACUUUCUUAAAGGUUACAUACAAAUAUAAAUGUAUAUAUAUUUGUGGGUAUAAUCUUAAUAGAUGGAGAGAAUGUAUAGGGAGGAGAGAGAAG